CCCUGCAUCGGGAAACUUAGGUUUUGCACAUACAUUUAUUUCCCUCCGGGGGAUUUCAUUACCUGAAAGUGCACAGGAGACACAGACCCUUCAUGUCACUCUGGGAUUUUUUUUUUUUCCUCUCUCUCUCUCACGUUUUAAUUUACGGCUUGGGUAAAUUAAAACAGUCACUGGCGCUCCGGACCCCAGCACCACGAGCGUGAAAGUUGUUUUUUCCCUUUUUUUUUUUUUUUUUUUUUGUUAAGAUCGCAGCAGUAGCGUCGCCCCCCAGGUGGCCUGGCCGCGGGCGCCAGGGCGCACUUGGGAUCGCGGAGCCGUCCGGUCCCGGGACAGCGGCGCGCGCGCGCGGUGGGACAGCGACGCCCGCCAAGGUGCCGUGUCCCCGGCGGGGCCCGGCCGAGCGCGCUCGGCUCGGCUCGGCUCGGAGCGGCUCGGCUCGGCUCGGCUCAGCCGGGGCACCCGGACCGCGACCCGCGCGGGCCCCCAGCGCGGCCUACACCCUGCUCCCCACGCCCGCGCCGCGGCCACCCGCACCCCGCCAUACAGUCGAGACCCGCCGCGACGCCCUGGAGCGCGGGGUCCCCGCAGCCCCGCACCCCGCCGAGGCCACUCACCUCCCGAGCCCCUCGGAAAGGGACACAGGGGUCACGGCGUCGCCCCGCGGGCGCCCUCGCCUCCCGGGCUUGCGAGGCGCCGCCGCGGGGCCGGGAGGGCGGCUGCGCUCCCGCUCGCGUCCCGUCGCGUCCCGUGCCGUAGCUGUCGCCGCGCGUCCCCUUCUUCUCACUGCAUUAUCUUCUGCUUCUCUGAGGGCCGGGCGGGAGGCUUGGGAAGGGCCGUUUGCAACUUUUCUCCACUCUUUCUCGUCCGCCACCCACCCCCCCAGGUCAGCAAUCCCCCCCAAAAAAAAAAUGUCGAAAAGGGUGAAGAACUCGGGGAGGGAAAAGUGCGGAAAGGGCAAGGGGAGAGGUGAGAAUCACAGUCCCAAAAUAGAGGCAAGCCCCCCAAACGUGGGUCACAGACAGAGGGGGACAGGCGGGGGGCGGGGUGGGGGUGGGGGAAAGAGAA
This 1065-nucleotide long non-coding RNA is filed under the name Castor canadensis (American beaver). RNAcentral describes it as "lncRNA (ENSCCNG00000000076.1)". The record is from RNAcentral. Lineage: Eukaryota; Metazoa; Chordata; Mammalia; Rodentia; Castoridae.